GCGCNCCUUNCAUGCAGUCGAACGGCAGCGCGGGAGCAAUCCUGGCGGCGAGUGGCGAACGGGCGAGUAAUACAUCGGAACGUGCCCAAUCGUGGGGGAUAACGCAGCGAAAGCUGUGCUAAUACCGCAUAAGAUCUACGGAUGAAAGCAGGGGACUCGCAAGAGCCUUGCGCGAAUGGAGCGGCCGAUGGCAGAUUAGGUAGUUGGUGAGGUAAAGGCUCACCAAGCCUUCGAUCUGUAGCUGGUCUGAGAGGACGACCAGUCACACUGGGACUGAGACACGGCCCAGACUCCUACGGGAGGCAGCAGUGGGGAAUUUUGGACAAUGGGCGCAAGCCUGAUCCAGCCAUGCCGCGUGCAGGAUGAAGGCCUUCGGGUUGUAAACUGCUUUUGUACGGAACGAAAAGUCUCUUUCUAAUAAAGAGGGAUCAUGACGGUACCGUAAGAAUAAGCACCGGCUAACUACGUGCCAGCAGCCGCGGUAAUACGUAGGGUGCAAGCGUUAAUCGGAAUUACUGGGCGUAAAGCGUGCGCAGGCGGUUAUGUAAGACAGUUGUGAAAUCCCCGGGCUCAACCUGGGAACUGCAUCUGUGACUGCAUAGCUAGAGUACGGUAGAGGGGGAUGGAAUUCCGCGUGUAGCAGUGAAAUGCGUAGAUAUGCGGAGGAACACCGAUGGCGAAGGCAAUCCCCUGGACCUGUACUGACGCUCAUGCACGAAAGCGUGGGGAGCAAACAGGAUUAGAUACCCUGGUAGUCCACGCCCUAAACGAUGUCAACUGGUUGUUGGGUCUUCACUGACUCAGUAACGAAGCUAACGCGUGAAGUUGACCGCCUGGGGAGUACGGCCCGCAAGGUUGAAACUCAAAGGAAUUGACGGGGGACCCGCACAAGCGGUGGAUGAUGUGGUUUAAUUCGAUGCAACGCGAAAAACCUUACCCCACCUUUUGACAUGUACGGAAUUUGCCAGAGAUGGCUCAGUGCUCGAAAGAGAACCGUAACACAGGUGCUGCAUGGCUGUCGUCAGCUCGUGUCGUGAGAUGUUGGGUUAAGUCCCGCAACGAGCGCAACCCUUGUCAUUAGUUGCUACAUUCAGUUGGGCACUCUAGUGAGACUGCCGGUGACAAACCGGAGGAAGGUGGGGAUGACGUCAAGUCCUCAUGGCCCUUAUAGGUGGGGCUACACACGUCAUACAAUGGCUGGUACAAAGGGUUGCCAACCCGCGAGGGGGAGCUAAUCCCAUAAAACCAGUCGUAGUCCGGAUCGCAGUCUGCAACUCGACUGCGUGAAGUCGGAAUCGCUAGUAAUCGUGGAUCAGAAUGUCACGGUGAAUACGUUCCCGGGUCUUGUACACACCGCCCGUCACACCAUGGGAGCGGGUUCUGCCAGAAGUAGUUAGCCUAACCGCAAGGAGGGCGAUACCACG
Molecule: ribosomal RNA, 1424 nt
Filed under: uncultured bacterium
Lineage: Bacteria
Description: bacterial SSU rRNA
Rfam family: Bacterial small subunit ribosomal RNA
Source: RNAcentral